This 12201-nucleotide long non-coding RNA is filed under the name Musa acuminata (dwarf banana). RNAcentral describes it as "long non-coding RNA (MACU_LNC002531)". Lineage: Eukaryota; Viridiplantae; Streptophyta; Magnoliopsida; Zingiberales; Musaceae. The record is from RNAcentral.
CUGAACUGAAGCCAGUUGGGAGCCUGAAGACGCCCUGCGACAUGAAGAAGAAGUCAUCAACAACUACCAACAAGCGUCGACGAGGGCGUCGACAGUUUAAGUGGGGGAGAAUGUCACGAACGGUCGUCGCGCACCCGCAACAACUCCGUUCAACGAACCGUUCGUCGCUCACACCUGCAUGUACAGCUGCUUGACAGCAUGGUUUCUCUUGGUUUUGGGUCAUUUUGCUUGUAAAUAUGUAAGUUCGAACAAGCUGCAGCGUUACAAAGCGACCGCUCACCAAACUGAGCAAAACAGCCCCAAAACAGCCCAAAACAGCUCCGUUUUCGCGUGCCACGGGAGGGUAGCGGAGAACUGCCUCCGCUCACCAAAAUGUCUCAGGCCCCUAGAACCACCCGGGUGGCACAGGGCUGGAUGGGGCUUCGGUUAUAUACCGGGCGUUGAGAUCUCUUUUGCAAGUUCGUACGUGACCUUUACGGGAACUUAUCUUCGCGCCCGGGACCAGGUGAGCGACUGUUUGUGGGCUUGCAGCUGUUCGUUCAUCCUUGAAAGCCUUGUUUUUCUCCCUCUCCCUCUUUUCUCUUGUGCACACAGGGUGUUCGUCGAAUUGCUUGUAAAGCUUCCCUUUUCGCGAGACUUCGGGACUUGUCCGUUGCUCGUUCUUUCGAACUAACUCUCUUUCUCUUUUACAGGUCCUUCGGGACCUGCGAGAGGUUACAAAGUGGGCUGAUCCUUGCGAAGCAAUAUCGCAAGGGCGAAGCGCGACUUAGGCAACGCAAGCUAAGUUCACGUCUUUGGCCGCAAGGGUGCCUCACGCCUUAGGCAAUUCCAGCUAAGGUCGUGACAACAUGUUGGAAAGUGUCUAACAACUGUCGUUGUCUAACUCGGGCAGGACGAGGACAUGGCGAGCAUUUUGAACUGUCCAUUCUUCAUAGAACAACAACAUUCUUUCAUGAAGGAUACCAAAGUGUUUUAAUAAGAAAAGGCAAAAUUUUAAAUAACAAACCUCAAGAAUCUUGUUUCAGACACUCUAUUCCAAAUAAAGAAACUAAAUCCUAGACAUCUGAGAUCUUCACAUCCACAAUCUUCUCUAGUAUCAAAGCAAAUGGACAUUGUGUUCCGUCUAAUCUCCUAAUGCAAAAUGCAUAAAUGGAUACAAAAAUAAUAUAUGGUAUUUUUAUACGAUAGGGAUGAGCACACUCAUGUAGAAUCAUAUCAAUCAAGCAUAAUUUUAGACCCCAACCAGAUAAAACUCGCACGAUACGCAGUCAACCACCACGCCCCUAACCGCCGCAUCAUGAUCUCUCAUUACUACCCACUAAUCCGACAAAACUGUUCGUCAACACAAACAAUUCCAAGCAGGAACAACGAAUUAAAAACGAAAUUGGCCCCUCACCUGACGGCCCCCACGGGCGUUCCCUCGUCGCCCCCAUGGAUAUCGAGGUGGUUCAGCCUGACCAAGGCGCUCUCACUGGCGGGAUUCGUCUCCGUCGGCUCACUCCGGCUGGAAGGCGAACCCGCACUGCCGCUGGUGGAGGCCGAGUGACCGCCGGAGAAGGCUGGCGCACCCAGGGAGGAGCGGCCGCCGGAGGGGGCCAUGCGGAAGUUCGCCGUCCUCUUGCUCCCCUCGUCCAUCUCCGCGAUCGCAGGCGAGCAGGAGAUCGCGGGAGGGGUUCGGGGAACGGAUGGACAAAGCGGAAGAAACCCUAACAACGAGACGGGAAGAUCGAAAAAGAUGGGGGCGUUGUAUGCUUAUGCCUGGGUGCGAGGCUGUUUCCGAAAGGUCGCGCACCGGAGGUGAUGCUACCGCGAGCGGGUUAUUAACAUCUUUUGACUGACACGUGGAGCAUUCGAAUGGCAACAAGAAUAAACGGUCUCUUAACCCUGACACGCCUAUAUCCCAAUCUCAAAACGAACAGUCGAGAUCAUGUAAUGGUCGGAAGUGCAGGAUUGGAUAAGGGUAUCAUUAGGAUAAGCGUCUUUUGGUGGGAUGUUCGCGAACAGGGGACAGCUUGUCAAGGAACGAGUUGCCUCGGGCCUAAACCGUAUACCUACCGAGUUUGACCGAACCAGAGCUGGGUCGAGAUCACAGUUAGGUUAAUACUGUCCAUUUAUUCCCAUAAUAUAAAAUCGUUUAAGUUAAUACUAAUGUACAAUGCUCCCAAUCUAUUUUCUUGGACUUUUCAUGCUUUAACAUAUAAAGGAAAAAAUGGAAGAAAAGCGAGAAAAUUUAUUUUUGUGAUUUUUCUUUGUUAUAUUUAGUUAACAUCUUAUUCAUGUUUCUUAUUACUGAAUGGAUGGACAUAUAGCUGAAGAAUAGCCUACUAGUCAAAAAUAUUCAUAAGCCACUUGCUGUUCUUACUUGGAAAGUUAUAUAUUCCAACUAUGUCAAGAUAAUCCUGUUCAAUCUCUUUGAAGCAACCCAAAACCUAAAAAAAAGGAAAACUGGAAUAAAUUUGUACAACAAUUUAUCAAAAAAGAUUAUUGAUGUGUGUUCAGGUAAUUGUCAAAUAGUUAGAUAAAACUUGUAUAGAUUAUCUAAUAAGAAACAUAAACCACAUAUUGACACUGAGGAAGCAAAACAUGACACUGAAAGAGUAUUGACAGUAACUCUACAUGAGAUGAUAAAGAAGAAGCCGCAGAAGGCCAGACAAGGCAUCCAUGCUUCAUAUAUUUGAAAAGAAUACAAUAGAACACGGUAGAUGUGAAUACUUUGUAACAUGAGUCACAAAGAAGAUUGAUUACAAACAAUUUUUUACAUGUAAAACUGAUGGUUAAAUUAGAAACAGAUGCAAGGACAAGGAAGCAGGCAAAAAAGUCACAUGACAUCCCUCGCAAGCCUCAAUGGCUCAUCACUUGAAUGCACAAACUCAAUGUUUGGUCGCUUUACGAGGUGAUGAUCUGCAUCUUCCUCAUCACUGUCCUCAAUUGAUGACGAAGAAAAUGAAUCGAACUCAUCUUCUGAAAUAUAAUAGUCUUUUUUAGAAAAGUGAGUUGAUAAUACUACAUGGAAAAAGAAAGCUAAUUUCAAUUUGAUCCAUGAACUCCACAUGAAACAUAAAUUUCAAGGACAUUGCUUUAGUUGGUAUUUCUGAUUAAAACUAUUAAUUCACACUCUUUCUUGCAUUAUGACACAUUAAAUUAACACAGAUGAAACUUGAAAAAUAGUAAAACAGUGGAAUGAUACAGAGAAGAAAAAGAACAAUAUGUAAAUCUGGAAUUGUACUUCACUAGAAUGUUUCUAGUUGUUAGUCUUAAGUUCAUAACUUUAUGCUUCUUAAGGUACGGAAAACCAAAUCAAAAGUGUUCAAACAUGGCUGUUUCAAAGUACCAGCAUUGAAAAAAAAAAAUGCCUUUGUUUUUCGUUUGUGGGUCAGAGUGAGGUGCUUGGCACAUGAGAAUGUUUAGCAGUCAUGGACAGCAUGUCCAAGAAAUAAGAAUGACCAAAUAAGUAAGUUCAAGUUCUUUGUUUUGCAAUAAAAAUUAUUCUCUAUGGUCAGACUAUCAAAAAGAAUACUUAAUUGAAUUUAUAUGUCAAAAUCUUCAGAAGUUUAUAACAUUCAUAUUCACAAGAUGAAUCUACCUUAAAGUAAUGAGAAACAUAAGAUAUUUACCUCAAAAACUUAAAAUGAGAUCAUUCUGAGCCAACAUUUAGGUGGCACCAGUUGGUAAUAGAAAAGUACAAGUAAUAUAAAUGAAUAGUUAAUCACUGCAAACUUUUUUGAAAGAUUAGUGUAUUUGAAAGACCCUAAUAAACUAACAUAUUAUUUUUGUUCUCUUGAACUUUUUUUUUGCUAUUUUGUGUAUUGAAAUUGCCCCAUUCUCAGACUGGUCAUAAGGACUUGAUGAUUAUUGCAUAAAUAGUUGCAACAACAAAGAAAACCAAACUACGAAACACGCAAUGAUUCAAACUCACCAAAACAAGUUGGAUGAGUUGGUAAUUGUCCGACUGCUGAAACACGAAUAUUUUCUGGGAUAAUACAGCGAAAGAAUGAUCCUGAAACUUCCCAAUCCCCAAAUGAAUCAAUACCUACAUAUUUCCAUGGAACCAGGGCGAAUGUUUUGAAAUAGAUACUAACCUAAUCUGGCAAGUCUAUUCACCCAUCCAGGAAUAGACUUUCCGGUCAAAUGCAUGCAAACUUCAUCUGUGAAAUGAUUGCAGUUUUUGAUGAUCAAAUUGUAGGUGUCACCAUGAUAUUUCCCCGCAAGGUCUUCAAUAAGUAUGCGGAACUCUGAGCGAGACAUAUCAGUGGUACCCAGCCACACAGAACGUCUGAAGAUAAAACCAGGACAGCUUUUCGGUUCCACCUCAAAUACUCCGCUAGAUGGGUAAUCAUGUGCUCCAAAUCCAUACUCCUGUCCAUGAACUACAUGCAAAAGUAUAAUGAGCAAGCUAUGGAAACAAAGAGCAGGAUUAAACCAACAUGCUAUGAGACAAUAUCAAGCAGGACUUACAGGAAGGUAUAGGGCAAAAACUUGUUUAUUAGAACUUUUACCAUCAAGACAAAUUUGGAACUAUAGUAUCCACCAUACUGAUUAAUUAAUACAAGGGUCAAAUAGGUUAGUUCAAAAUAAUAGACAUAAUUCUAUUAAAUUACGAGUCCAUACCUGACUAGAUGCCAUUAUAAAACCAAAAGAGUACCAUGUAUAUCAUGAGGGAUCAAGAAGAAACCGAGAUAGGGAACAAAUAGAGCAUAUUGGUACCAAGAUGAUUGCACUAAGAUUGUAUUCAACAAAGUAACAAAAGCACAAGGUUUGCUCGGAGUUCCAAACAAAUGGCAGUAAAAACACCAGAAAUAAUUACGGUGGACUUGGAAAGAAUUUGCAGCGAUCGUUGAGCAAAAGAGCACUAACGAACCAACUUGAUAGGCAGAUCAGAUGUCCAAGUCAACCAAGGCCCAACUUUUCAACGAGAACAUAAAUAUCAAUUCCUACAAAUUGAUAGAUUUGAUAAUUUUUCUUAGGGACAGUAAACCAACUAAACAAUUUCAUGGUUCCUAAUUACUUAGAUAAUAGUUAAGCUAUGCAUUUACUUUGUAUCAAAAAAAGCUUUUGAUCCAAAGCUUUGUGAUGAAUACUUAUUAGGAUCUCCCUAGAAAAUUGUUGAAACUCAAGAAUAAACAACUGUGUGAUGAAUGCUUCUUUCCUUUGACAUUCAUCUAAUAUCUUUGUUUGCUAAAACAGCAUUAAUUGAACAUAUUUUAUAACCAGGAAGUACUUCUAGGUCAAUUUAGCAGAGUCGCAAAGAUUCACAGCGCGACAGGGAAGCAGGAAAUAUUUGUACAAUUGGCGUUGCAUGAAUUAAACGAUGAAAGAAAUGAAUCGAACCGAAUUAUAUCCUAAUUCCUAAACUCCGACGAGAUCUUGCGGGGAUGAUGACGCACCUUCGAUCCCAGAGUGGAAGACUCCGAGCCCAAACCAGUACAGGUAUUUGUUUAUGGGUGUGAGAUCAUAAACAUUCAAGUAGAGACGCGUCCUCCCGCACCCGUCUCUGCCCCCGUUGCGCAGACCCUUCUCGGAAGGAGAUCCUGACAGCAUGUUUAUCCGACUCGGCAAACCAACAUUAGGAACCCUAAUUCCACAUCUCCGACGCCUCAAUUCGACGUCCCGGUUCCCAGAACCACGAAAUUAGAGAGAGAGAGAGGCUUCCGGGUUGGAUUGGACAACAAGGAGGAGGAGAAGAUGGGCGAGGAAAGGGGUCCGAACUGGGUUCCAACGUUCCCUGCCUUGAUCCCCUGGCGCGAUAAUGGCAGGGAACAGCCUUUCGCCCCGUCUCAUUGCAACAACUAUGGUUCCACCGUGGCGAUAGAUGAUCUAAAUAAGCAGAACUCUGUUCCCUGCCACGGAUGCGACAGGGGACACUUUCACUUCGUCCGGCCGCGCUCCCACGGAAUCGGAUUUCGGCGGAUUAAAGGAUUCGAUGGCACCGCGAUCAGAACGAGGGACGAUGGAUCAUAUUCUCCCACGUGGACCGUUCACGCUCCGGGACCCACUCGUAGAAUCUAACUAAACCUACCGAGUACUCUUACGAUCACCCUAAAACUCAUCUAAUCAAUCAAGCCCAAUUUGAUACAUCGGGCCGAGCCGAGCCGCAUCAGCCCUGACCUCUCGACCUUGCAGGGCCUCCUGGCCGCCGGUUCGACCCGCCCCAGCCGCAGGCUCCGUGUCACACCGGACCGAACCGAGGGUCUGGUACGGAUUGGCACCCGGGCCUAACCCAGGGCCGUGCAGGAUGGAUCGGACCGAGUCCACCCAGCGGUCUGGGACAGUCCCAAUGCGACCAAACUCAAAUCCUUUGUUUCAGUUCAAUUUCAUUUCGUUUUUUCCUCUUUGCAGAAAGCUUAUAAAUCGCAGACUAAUAGUUUCAAACUUGAAAUUUUUGUCAGAAUAAAGAUUUAAAACAUGCAACUAUUAUAAAUACAAUAUUAAAUAAUAUAAACAUAUUUGUGAAGAAUUAAAUUCAAAGUAUAUUUUUCAUGAAUAAAAAAUCCUGAUAAAUUCAUAUUUCGGAAUUAAAAAAUUAUAUAGAUCAUGAUAAUUCGAACAUAACUUUAUGAAAUGAUAAUAUGUCAAAAGAGGAGUAAGCCUCUCGAUUCGAUAUUGGUUCAUACGACUGAGAUGGCGUUCGCUCAUCCACGGUUCCCCUAUAACUUGCUGGCCAAAGUCUAGCUGGGCUCAAGAGUUGUGGCAGAGGAGGAGCAACUGAAGAGAGAAGAGGAGGAAAAUGGAAGUUGAGGUGGCCAUGGCUUAGUGUUCUGUAGAAGAAACGAAGAGAGAGGAGAGAAGAAGAGUAAAAGAUGGGUCGGUUUUUAUAAUAUGUUGAUUUGGAGUGUGUUUAUCCUAAGAUAAAAAAUUAUCAGAGUGCUUCACACGCACAAAGAAACACUUUACUCGUUGCUGUGUGGGAUGACAGCAAUGGUCAACUAUUGCUAAAUAACAUUGUCAAAGUUAGCAUAUAAUAUAUAUAGUGACACUACAGAUUCAUGAAUCUAAUAUAUUUCAUAUUCUGUAGUUUUUGCUGCAAAAGUCACCUCCUUCUCAGGCUUUAAGAAAAUAAUAAUAAUAUACAGUUGCGUUUUCUUGUUCACAGAUUGAAUCGAAAGCCUUGACAUCCUCCUCCCCAUCGCGUAAUCUAGAAAUAGAACAGUCAAAGCAUCUGUGCCUUUUUGUUGUUCUCUUCGCCAUUAUGAUUUCAUGCCAUACUUUGCUGCCAUCAGCUAGCUUCCUUUAUGAGGCAGUUGGGAGAGGAUGAAGACAAGGGAAAGGAGACAGUGGGAUAUUGGAUCUAUGGGAACAAGUCAAAUCCUACAGACUGUGGCUCCAAUGCAACCACUUAAUCUUCAGACUCUAGUGAAAGAAUUCUAAAGGCUACUGCAGUAACUCUGAGGAGAUAUGUAUAUGUUUCCACGAUGAAGAAAAGGGAACUCAGUGUUAUCAACCCACUCUUUAGGUGGCAUCAUGACAUGGUCAGUGCAGGAGCUAGGAGCAGGUAGAAUAUGAAUGCAUUGCUCUUGCAGCAAACAGAUGAAGAGCUACUUGUUACUGUAGAAAAAUCAAAGGGGUUCCUUCAAGAAAAGAAUACAAGUUGCCAUUUGAGCUAUUUGCAUCUGUUUAUGAAGGAAACAUGGUGUGUCUCACUCAUACACAUCCUUCAGACUUUCUUGUGAAGAAUCCAGAUAUGAAACCAAUGAGCUUGUGGAUUCAACAUGUGAAUUCAAUCCUAACAUUUUGGUUGGAUUGGAGUUGGAUACAGAAUUUAGAUAUCCUCAUACUCAAAUUUCGAAUCAAAAUUUGGACAUCAAGCUCUCAAUUCUCUCAUUCACCAAGAUAAUAGCUGGUUUCAAUCAACCAAAAGAAGGAAAAAUGAAAAGCAAAUUAGAAAUAGAAUACUACCACAAGCAUGAUUCCAUUUGAGUGUCUUUUAAGAUGAAACUGUGCAUGGCGUAUAGGAAAAUGAAUAAUGGAUUCGAAUCUAACAUUUUUCAUGUAUGCUCCAAGCUACAGUAGUAGAUUAUGUACACAAGAACAACAACACUAUGUAACCUGCCGUGAUACCUCGACAAGCAUGCUUAUGUUUACAUCCUUGUCAGACCAUGCUAUGUAUCGUUUUGUUCUCCUUUGAUUACUCUUUCUUUGUACGUCUUCUUUCCCGCUCCCAAGCAACGUGAAGCAUCGCAGCGUUUGACCGGUCAACUCUCAGAUCACCAGGAGCUGCGCGAACCCCAGUGGUGGAUGCGGAGAUAGCGGCGACAGCGGCGGCACGUUGAACAGCCCCUCCGUGUCCGCCUCCUCGCCGUCCCACACGCUGCUCCAGCUCGACGGCGACAAGGGGACGCACCCUGGCUCCACAACCUCAGACUCCAGCGAGCUCUCCUUCUUGAUCCCUCUCGCCGGUACCGCCGCCUCUCUCUUUCUCUUUCCGGCCUCAGGCGGCGCAGGAGGAGCGGUGGCCCAGCGGCCGGAGCACCCGACCUCGUUGGGGAAGUUGAGGAUGGCCUUGCGGCCGCGAAUCCGGUAGGCGGCGCGGUCGUACGCCCGGGCGGCGUCCACGGCGGUGUCGAAGGUCCCGAGCCAGACCCUGGACCCCCGACGGUUGGGAUCGCGGAUCUCCGCCGCGAACUUGCCCCACGGCCGCCGCCGGACCCCGCGGUACCGCCUCCCGUCGCCCCGGUUCGCCGUGGGCGGCACAUCAGCCCAGUCGAGCGGGCGCGCAAGGGGGAGGGCGACGGUGAGGGAAGGUCGGGCGAAGGGGAUCGGCGGGGGCAGGACGGAUGACGGGGGAGUGGGCGGGAGGUCGGCGAGGAGGUGGUCGCGGAUGAGGUCGAUGGUGGGGUCCCUGCCGCGGCCAUUCGACGUCGCCAUGAGUCGGAUAGAGGAUGAGAAGACGAGCGAGAGGCUGGUGAUGGCGGUGGAAGAUAGGUGGGUGGAAGAGCAGUCGUCGUCGUUACUUAUAGAGCGCCAAGACAAGGCCAUGGUGCUUCCUCGAAGCCGCACGGCGGGAGUCCAUCCGUGGAUUCGGAGUGGCAGGGGUCGUUGCUCGGUCUCAUACAAUGUCGUGUCGACGCCGGGAAAGCGAAGUGCGAAUCGAAAAGGUACGCUAAGGCGACGUCUGCGCGCCCAUCGAACGCCCGCCGCCACGUCCUCCAGUCGCGGCCGAAGUCGUACCAAAUUGAUCAAAAAAGAAAAUAUAAUUCCGAUACGCAACUGAAAAUUAUUUAUAAAAUAGGGGAAAUUAAAUUAAUUUGGCAGCAAUUUAUUAUUAUUCUAAGCAACUGAAAAUUAUUUAUAAAAUAGGGGAAAUUAAAUUAAUUUGGCAGCAACUAAUUGUUAUUCUAAGCAACGCCACUAUGUUUGCAUGGGUUCUCCUCAAUCAUGCAACGUUUGAAGAGCAUGCGUUCACAUACACUUUCCAUUUACUCCACCGACUGCACAAUUGAAGUGUAUGCGUUCACAACACGGUUGACUUUGUUGAUCUUCACAACAAUAAAUGAGUGCCCACGAAAUCUCACUGUUUCAACGUAGUCAAUGGAUUUGGUUCGGCGCAUUCAAUUUAACUGCAUCGAGCUAAGAGAGCCGUCAAAGCUUUCGUCUCCUCCGCUUCAUACCUGCGGCGACGUUUGACGGUGGCCGAGUCGAGAAACGAUGAGGAGGGCUUGACUCGUCGCCGGGUCAGACUCAUCAUCUCUGCAUCGCAACCACCGUGCGACUCGCCAUCGUGUUUGCUAAUCCUUCAUCUUAUUGCCUAAAUGAUCCCAUAGUUCUAUCAUUUCCCCAUUGUUCUCUCUUCCAUCAUCUUCCUUCCUUGUUUCAUGUCCAUGGUCCAUAGUACCCACAGGGCUACUCACCUAUGCAACUUGCAGACUGUCGACAAGAAUACGAUAGUUUGGCUCCUACUACCUCAGAUUGAGAUCUCCAAUCCCCCAUGCGAGAGAGUGUCCACCCAAUUCGAGAGGAAAAAGCCAUUUUGGAUAAGACCAAGGUUGUAAAUAUCCACUUUCCUACUCUCUCUUCAUCUUCAUCAUAUUUUAUGCCCAUCAUUUGUUACCAAAACGAUUUAACGUAAUAUAUGUUAUUAUCAUGACAGCAUAUGCUUGAAUUCACCAUAAGAAUUUAUUGAACAACGUCUCUUGUUUCGCUCCGUAAAGCCAUCUCCCGCUCCCGCCACAUCCCAACACCAGAAGCGGAGGAAGUCUCGCCUGCAACCACGCGCGCCCAGAUGUGUAGCCCCGAGUCCGAGCUCGCCCUCCUAGACUCCAUCCGCCGCCAUCUACCCGGCGACCCCGAACCUGGCCCCUACCACUCCUGCUACCCCACGCCGGCCUGCCACCGGAGCUGCAGCUUUGGACGCCUCGUCGCCGACCAGUGGUCCGACGGCCUCCCCUUCCGCCUCGACGACCCCGACGAUAUGGUCGUCUACGACGCCCUCGCCGACGCCUUCCGCCACGGAUGGACGCCCUCUUCGGCCGUACCCGUCGCUGUUGGCGAGACCCUGGCGGUGAGUGCGGCGCCGGCUCCGGGGAGGCAGUACCGGGGGGUGCGGCGGCGGCCGUGGGGAAAGUUCGCGGCGGAGAUACGGGACCCGGCCAGGAACGGGGCCAGGGUGUGGCUGGGGACGUUCGGCUCCGCGGAGGACGCGGCCCUCGCCUACGACCGCGCAGCCUUCAGGAUGCGCGGCUCCCGCGCGCUGCUCAACUACCCACUGCGGAUCGGGUCGGCGGAGGCCGCGCCGGACUCUAUCACUCCUCCUCUCCUGAUAACUCUCCCUCAGAAAAGGCCUCGUCCAAGAGGAGGAAGAAAGGGGCGGCGGCGGCCAUCAUAACGUCGCCUUCUCCAGCUUCGUCCCUCGGUUCGGUUCCGGUAUCAGUUAAGACACGUCGGCCAUCUCUUGGUGAGCUAAGAAGAUGGCAAUAGUGGAAGGAUGUGUGGAUGAAGCCUCAUGGAAAUGUGUUCUUUGCGAAGUAGAAUAAACGCGAAUGCCAUGAGUCGAUGGCUGUGUUUGAUUUGCUGUUCAUUGUUCUUUCUUUCUCUUUUUCCGUGCAAAAACAUUAUAGCAAAUCAACCAUCUUUGUUCAUCGAUUUUAGAUUUUUAGUGUCAUCAUGUUUGAUCUUAAUACCAGUAAAUAGCAUUGUGAUCUUAUCUAUGUUCCCUUUGUUCUGUUAAGUAACAUCCAACAAGUGGAGGAUAUGCGAUCCAAAGUUCAGAGAAGCCGGGGGACAAGAGCUCCCCUGGCCACUGAUCAGAUCCGCCCAUGCAACAAAUGGAUUCCAGCAUACCAAGACAAGAACCAGCAUGUUGGAUAUGGUAAAGAGAUGACGUGCCACCAGCUCUGGUCUGUGUGCUUUCCUCUCCUCUCUUCCCAAGUGAGUUAGUGAAAGGCUUCGAUUUUGAUACUGUGGCACAUCAGCUGGCCCACAAACAACUCGAGAUUGUUGUUGACCAAAGGAUAGCAGCAUAAACUUUGCUUUUGAUGUCGCACAACUUCAUCAUCUAAUCAUGAUUUUUCUAGCUCAGAAACAAUUCAAAAUUUUUGUGCUGAUUUGGAGAAACAUUAUCUUAAGCCACUUGGAUCUGAACACUGUGUAACCUUAGAACAGCUCCUAAGAGAGUAGCAGCAUGUGCAGUAUUUGGCCUACAAGAGGCAGUUAGAUAGUAAUCUUGUCAAUACUGCUGCCUCAAGAACUGAGUAGAGCCCACACUGAGAUAUAGUCCUAUAAUCAUCCUAAGUUACCAGAUUUCAGAUACUAAUCUUGUCAACACUGCCUCAAGAUCUGAGUAGAGCCCACCCUGAGAUAUAGUCCUAUAAUCAUCCUAAGAUACCAGAUUUCUUUCUUAUCCAGACCACAUCUUAUGGUAGGAACCUAUAGCUUCUGCAGUAGCCAUUCAUGCUACUGUAGUACUUGGCAACUUGGAUGUAACAGCUAUCCCACCCUAGCAAAAGAACAAUGCUUCAAUGAGAUUUCCAUUCCAUGGUCAGCACUGGAACAAUGGGCAGAAGUAGCUUGGGUCAAAGAAGAUGGACAUGGUCCCAACUCUUGAACUGCAGGUUCCAUGUUCAUCUUCCCUUUCUGAGCAUGGCCAGUUUAGGCAGACGAGGGAGAAGGGCAAGCAUGCAGAAGUCUUGUGUGGGAUUUUGUGACCUCAGACCUUGAUACUAAGAUCUUCUUUGAAGCCCCAUGCAGAAGACUCGGAGUUUUCUUAUG